UGGGUCUGGGCUGUGGUUGGGGUCACUGAGAAUUAGAUUUUAGUCUGUAGUUUGGUCUGUGACAGUUUAGACAUGCACCAAUGAAUAGGAGAACCGCUGAAGCAGACCUUGAGAAAGGGCCUGGCCUGUGGGGAUUCCUUAGGCCAUGGAGUUUCGAUUUUAGAAAAUUUGAAGUAUUAACACUUACCAGAGGUUGGGUGAAUACUAUCCUGGCAAAUGCUGGAAUGGAAAUUAAUUGACUUAGUAGUUUUCUUCACUGCCCAGUUUAUCUGGUCCAGAAGAAUUGGUGCCCUAUUAUUCAGGCUGGAUUGCAGUACACAAGAUUAUAAUUAAUGGUGGGGAGAGUACAUUUGGUGGCCCUUCUUUGGAUACUUCAUUUGUAGGUCAAAUUAGUCUAGUUGGCUGGAUUGGUUCCAUAAGUCUGUGGCUGCUGAGAGAUCUUCUGCCAUUCAGUUCCUGAUGUGAACUGUGAGGGAGUUCUUCUCCAGUGAGAGAAUACUCUCUCAUUCAGGCAUGGAGGCAUUGAAGAGAAUGUAUCAGCCAGCAAAGUGUGGGCCUGCAGCAUGGAGGAUCUAGAAUAUCUGUUCUGGUUUUAGGUUGCAAGGAGGUCAGGACUAGUUAUCAUAAGGUCUAGGGGAACCUAGGAGACUGAAUGAUUCUAGAGCCAAGUUGGAGGGAGGAGUAGCAUCUCUGUAUCAGAAAAUGAACCAAGCUCCCUCUGGAUUUGCUGAGCUCACACUAGACCAGAUUUCCAAGAAGGAACUCUGGGCUAGAACCAUACUCUUAAUCUACCCGGAUAUUAUUCAACUUUUAUUAAGAAAAAACUAUAUGCACAUUACAUGGUAAUAUUUCUUCAACUGAAGAGAGGAUAAUAAACAUGUUAAGUAUGAGAAAUCUUUUUAUGGUAGUAGAGGUUGAAGGGAUUAAUGGGGAAGAUGGAAUGAAAUUUGGGAGAGGGAAAGAAAAAUCCAAUUGUUUAUUCCUUUAGCAGCUAUCUCAAAGGAGAGUAAUAAUUUAGCAUUAGAAUGGAGAGUGCUUUCUUUAAUUAUAUAUUUUCUUAAUAGAAAUAAUCCAAAAUUAUUCUUAUUUUUUUGAGACAGAAUUUCACUCUUGUGGCGCAGGCUGGACUACAAUGGUGCAAUCUUGGCUCACUGCAACCUCCACCUCCCAGGUUCAAAUGAUUCUCCUGCCUCUGCCUCCUGAGUAGCUGGGAUUACAGGUGUCCGCCACCACACCUGGCUAAUUUUUGUAUUUUUAGGAGAGAUGGGGUUUCACCAUGUUGGCCAGGCUGGUCUCCUGACUUCAGGUGAUCUGCCUGCCUCGGCCUCCCACAGUGCUGGGAUUAUAGGCGUGAGCCACUGUGGCUGCCAGAUUUACUCAUUCUUUUUUUUUUUUUGGGGAUGGAGUUUUGCUCUUGUUGCCUAGGCUGCAGUGCAGUGGUGCUAUCUUGGCUCACCGCAAUCUCUGCCUCCCGAGUUCAAGUGAUUCUCCUACUUCAGCCUCCUGAGUAGCUAGGAUUACUGGCUAAUUGUGUAUUUUUAGUAGAGACAAGGUUUCUCUAUGUUGGUUACAGGCUGCUCUCAAACUCCUGACCUCAGAUAAUCUGUGUGCUUCAGCCACCAACAAUUCUGGGAUUGCAGGUGUGAGCCACCGUGCCUGGGCUUUUUUUUUUGAGACAGGGUCUCCCUUUGUCCCCUAGGCUGGAGUACAGUGGCUUGGAUCAUACCUCACUGCAGCCUUCACCUCCUGGGUUCAAGGGAUCCUCCUACCUCAGCCUCUUGAGUAGGUAGAACUAUAGGCAUGCAUCCCCAUGCCCAGAUAAUUUUUUAGUUUUUUUGUAGGGAAGAGAUCUCCCUGUGCUCUCUGGGCUGGUCUCCAACUCCUGGCCUCAAGCAGUCCUUUUGUCUAGGCCUUCCAAAGUGCUGGGAUUACAGGUGUGACAUCAUACCUGGCUACUCAUUCUUUUUAGGGCUUUUUUUUGCCCCUUCUCCUGGAGUCUCGCUCUGUUAACCAAGCUGGAGUACAGUGGCAUGAUUUCAGCUCACUGCAACCUCUGCUUCUUGGGUUUGAGCGAUUCUUCUGCCUCAGCCUCUCAGAGUAACUGGGGUUACAGGCAUGCACCACCAAGUCCAGCUAAUUUUUGUAUUUUUAGUAGAGGUGGAGUUUUGCCAUGUUUGCGAGGCUGAUCUUGAACUCCUGGCCUCAAGUGAUCUCCCUGCCUUGGCCUCCCAAAGUGUUGGGAUUACAGGUGUGAGCCACAGUGCCCGGCCAGGGCUUUUUUUUUUUUUAAUCAUAAUAUGCUAUACUAAUUUUAUUAUGAUCAUAGCAUGACAGGGCUAGUCUUCCUUCCCUUUUCUCUCACCAGCACUGUUUAUUGUGUGUUUUUUUAUUUUUGUAAGCGGAAUGCACUUAAAUAUUGUGUUUAUUAUAUUGUCUUUACAUUGUCUUUCUACCCUUUUAUUAUAAAAUUUCUCUGAGGGAAUUUAUUAUGAAAAGCAGUAGCCCCUGUCUCACCUGUCUAUUGCAGUUCUACUUUACUGAGGCUGCUAUUUCUAAGCAUUAAUUUUGUAUUUCUUAACCAUGCUUUUUUCCAUGUCUCCAAGUAAUAGGCAUAUAAUGUCAUUUCUUGAUUUAUCAAAAUGACAUUAUCAGGGAGUCAGAAGACUUCUAUGAAUGUGUAAUUGACAUUAUUCCCUUUCUCCUUCUUUCUGACGUUUGGUAGUUAAUUUAGUUAUUUUAUUCAGUGUGUUUAUGUUUUUUGAUAAUAUGCAUAAACCUUGAUUUUGGAGUCCAACAAUCUUAGGCUUUAUCUCUUGACUUCCCCAUUAUAUUAGAUAAGGAUUUAGCCUAAAUAAGGCUUUCCUGAAGUAGAAGGAACAUUGACAAUUACAGUAAAAAUGCUAGAUGAAUGUUAAAGGGAAGUUUGGAUGGACUUAUCAAAAAGACCAUGUUGUAGGAAACAUCUAAGCAUAAUAUUUGCUUGUUAGAGAUGAAGAGGAGUUGCUUAAUAAUGAUAAUUGUUCAUCCUCGAAUUAGCAGUUUGCAGUAUUCUUUGACAGUCUUCUGGAGAGUUUUAGUGUGGGAAAUCUGGAAAUGCAUUAUAAUGACCUUUGAAUGUUCUUUCUAGGCUUCUAUGGCAAUUCCUUUUUUGUUUGUUUUUUGAGGCAGGAUCUCACUUUGUUACCUAGACUGUAGUGCAGUGGUGUGAUUUUGGCUCACUGCAGCCUCCACCUCCUGGGUUCAAGCAAUCCUCCCACCUUAGCACCGCAGGUAGCUGGGAAUAAAGACAUGUGCCACCACUUCCAGCUAAUUUUUUUGUAAAGAUGGGGUUUUGCUAUGUUGACCAGGCUGGUCUUGAACUCUUGGGCUCAAGUGAUCUGCUUGCCUCAGCCUCCCAAAGUGCUAGGAUUAUAGGUGUGAGUCACUGUGCCGGGCCACAAUUCUUACGUUUUUAUUUUUAGGAGGGAAUGGAUUGGUGUGGACACAUGUUUUUUGCAGGGAUGGGGGAAGGAGAGGUGGGGAAAUGUGAUAGGAGGAGGAUGAGGAACAGGGUUUGAUGGAGGUGGUGAUACAUAUUGAGGAUGCUAAAGAAAAGGUAAAGUAUUUUGAGGGGAUUUGGAUGUAGUUAUUGUGACGGAAGUUUACCUUAUGGUGAUGAGACUAGAAUUUUUGUCACCUUUAAGGAAAUUAGCAUGUUUAAAUUACUAAUAUGUUGGGAAUGUGAUAGGAAAAAACUGUACUGGGCUCAAUGUCAUAUGUUAGGAUAGAGUUGUAAAAUAUUAGUGUUUUUGAAAUUUGCAUAUGAGAUGCAAAUAAAUCAUUGUGGUGGAUAUUGGGAAAAUAGAAAGAUACUGUUCCACUUUAUUUAGGAGCCUUUAAAUAAUGGCACCUCUUGAAAGUCUUCCUUUCUUUUUUUUUUUUUUUGAGGCAGAGUCUUGCACCAUCGCCCAGGUUGUAUUGAGUGCAGUGGUGCAAUCUCAGCUCACUGCAAUCUCUGUCACCUGGGUUCAAGCAAUUCUCCUGCCUCAGCCUCCUGAGUAGCUGGGACAACAGGCAGCCGCCACCACGCCCAGCUAAUUUUUUUUGUAUAUUUAGUAGAGAUGGGGUUUCACCACGUUAGCCAGGAUGGUCUCGAUCUUCUGACCUCGUGAUCUGCCUGCCUCGGCCUCCCACCUGAACAGUUUUUUAAGGCUGAUGACAUUGGUCUAUUGUAAGGAUGCUUGCUACAGCAUGAGCCACUGUACCCGGCUAAAAGUCUUCCGUACUUUCAGUAGCAACACUAUUCACAUGUAGGUUAUGUAUUGCUAAAUUUUGUAUUUGUGACAAUUAUUCUCUUUGUUUUACAAAUGGUAAAUGGUAACCUGUUCUAGAGCAGAGACUUCCUGUAUCUCUAGGGAAACUCACAACAGGCUGAUUCUUUUUUUUUUUUUGAGAUGGAGUUUUGCUCUUGUUGCCCAGGAUGGAGUGCAAUGAUGUGAUCUUGGCUCACCACAACCUCUGCCUCUUGGGAUCAAGUGAUUCUCCUGCUUCAGCCUCCCGAGUGGCUGGGACCACAGGCACGUGCCACCAUGUCCAGCUAAUUUUGUAUUUUUAGUAGAGACAGGGUUUCUCCAUGUUGGUCAGGCUGGUCUUGAACUCCUGACCUCAGGUGAUCUACCUGCCUCAGCCUCCCAAAGUGCUGAGAUUACAGGCGUGAGCCAACAGGUUGAUUCUUAAGUGCUUAAUAAAUACCUGUUGAAUGACUGAUGGAAAGUGGGGUUCACUAUUAGUGAUAAUAGUGGGAUUGUAUGAAAUUGCUGAGUACUGUGGGGGUAUUGAGACAAAACGGUGUGUGUGUGUGUGUUUGACAGCGUGAAGGACAAAAGGGAUAUCUGACUGGAGAGGACCUUUGACAGCAUGAAGGACAAAAGGGAUAUCUGACUGGAGAGGACCUUUAGAUUUAAGGGAAGAAGGCAGACUGGAUUAGAAUGGAACUGCAAGAGUUCUGCAACAACAUUGAAGACCAAGAGGUCUCUUCUAAAUUUGAGGCUAGUUUAAUCUGGAGUAAAAUCUGGUCUGUAGCAGGGUGCUAUUUUAAUUUAGUUUUUUUUUUUCUUUAGGCAUAAAUGACUGUUUUAAGACUGAUUUAAUUCAUUUUUAGGAUAGUAAAAAUAACAGAUAAGCUUCUUCCCUCAAGAAAUUUAUAGUAUUUACAUUCUUUUUUUUUUUUUUUGCGAUGGGGUCUCACUCUGUUGCCCAGGAUGGAGAGCAGUGGUAUGAUCUCGGCUCACUGCAACCUCCGCCUCCUGGGUUCAAACAAUUCUCUUGCCUCACCCUCCUGAGUAGCUGGAAUUACAGGAGCAUGCCACCAUGCCUGGCUAAUUUUUACUAAUUUUUGCAUUUUUGGUAGAGACAGGGUUUCACAGGCUGGUCUUGAACUUCUGACCUCAGGUCAUCUGCCCACCUUGGCCUCCUAAAGUAGUAUUUACAUUCUUUUGAGAGAGAAAGAUAGUUGUAAAAUAAUUCAGUAACAGUGUAAGAUUUCAGAAGAUCGAUUUUUAAAAACAAAUAUCAAAACUAUAUCUCCAGGUAAGAAUUUUUAUAUUUGGGUGGUCAUUUUCAGUAGCAGCGUUCAGAAUAUUUUUAGAACACCUUUUCUGAAUUAAUUUCUGAGUAUAACUAUGUAAUUUACCUAUUUAUUGAGUAUCUAUUGUGUGCUGUUGGGGGAAGGGGUCUAUAAAGGUAAGUAAAACAUGGUCCUUAUCUUUGGAUGGUCCUUAUUUUGGAACGCCAGGCGUUCAUAAUCCCUCCAAGAGGCACACUUUUUUUUUUUUUUUUGAGAUUCCAGUAUUCAUUGUCUUCUGGAGAGUUUUAGUGUGGGAAAUCUGGAAAUGUAUUAAAAUGAUCCUGGAAUGUUCUUUCCAGGCUUCUAUGGCAACUUUUAUUUUUAUUUUUGAGACAGGGCCUCAUCUUACUCUGUCACCCAGGCUGGAGUCCAGUGGCAUGAUCUUGGCUCACUGCAACCUCCACCUCCUGGGUUCAAGUGAUUCUCUUGUCUCAUCCUACCAACUAGCUGGGACUACAGGCCCGCACACUACCACCCCUGGCUAAUUUUUGUAUUUUUAUUAGAGACAGGGUUUUACCAUGUUGGCCAGGCUGGUCUCGAACUCCUGGUGUCAGGUGAUCUGCCUGCCUCGGCCUAUCAAAGUGCUGGGAUUACAGGUGUGAGCCAUUGCACCUAGCUUAAGGGGCAUACAUUUGUUUGUUUGUUUGCUUGUUUGUUUGUUGGUUUGUUAUUUGAGACAGAGCCUCUCUCUGUUGCUUAGCUUGGAGUGCAGUGACGCGAUCCUGGCUCUCUGCUACCUCUGCCUCCCAGGUUCAAGCAGUUCUCCUGCCUAAGCCAUAGCUGGGACUACAGGCAUGCACCACCACACCCAGUGUAUUUUUUAGCAGAGAUGGGGUUUCACCAUGUUGGCUAGGCUGGUCUUGAACUCCUGGCCUCAAAUGAUCACCCACCUGAGCCUCCUAGUGCUGGGAUUUCAAGCAUGAGCCACCGUACCUGGCCAAGAGGCACACUUUUAAAUAAUGCAUGGCAUAAGCUUAUUUUGAAUGGUCUCAUUGAUGACAAAUCUUUUUUACUUUGAAAUUUUGAUUUUUUAGAAAUGCUCAAGGUCAGUCAGUAUCAAAUAGAGUGAAUAAAGAAUAGUUUUGCCUUAAAUUCAGUUAAUCACAGAAAUGGGAAUAAUUUUCUUGGUUGACUUACUAGCUGAUUUUUAAAACACUGCCAAGGCGGAAGUUGGAAAUAUUUUGAACAGGGGUGAUAACUUCACAUGUAGUUAGUUAGACACUAGAUGGUUGAGUGCAUCCGAUGGUUGGAUGGAUGGAGUGAAUAAAUGAGUAAGUGGUAGCCUUCCAAAGUAACUUAAAGAGGACCAUACUGAUUUGAAUGUGUAAACAAAUUCUUAUUAAAAAAUUCAGUUUUCUCAGAUGAAAUAAAUAAAUUCUGAGUAUAUUUGUUAACAAAUUACCUGGAGCAAGAUAGUUUAAGACCACAGAUGAGUUUUAUAGACAGUAAGUGCUGUAGGAGUUCCGGGAAUGGAGAAAUGAACAUUGGCUAAGGUUUGGUGAAAUUAUUUAAGUGAACCAUACUUUAGCUUGAUAUUUGGAAAGAUUCCUUAGGGAUCUCAGAGAAGAACUAAAUGACUCCAAAUUUCUCUUGCAGCCCUAAAGUGAACCUAGACUCUGGAUCUAUUUUUGUCUGAAUGCUUUCUGCCUGUUUCAUUUUAGCUACUCCUACUGGUUUGUUCCUUUCAAAUUCACAUUUGUUUGGUAGAUGUUGAGCCCCCUGAAACAGCUUUCCAUCAUUGUAGACUAUAACUUUUAGUUGUUCUUUUAUGAGCCUGUACCCCACAAAUUACUUGGCCUUCAUGAGUGAAGAGCGUGAGUCAACUUGGCCCUGUUAUCCUGGCAUUUUCCUGCGUGCUUUUCUCAAAGCUGCUUUCUGAAUUACAGAAUAGAAUAGACAGAACUGAGGGCAUGUGUCCAGUAGGUACAAGCUUGUUGAAUGAAUGAAUGAAUGAAUGAAUGAGAUAUUUGAGAUAAUUUAGGAGAUCUGAAUUAUCUAUAUGUUUUAUGUUUCUUUUCAUUUAUUCAUAACUUGCCUUUUUCUACAAAGGACUUAAUGGGGCUGCCAGAAUAUAUGCACUAGCAAUGAAUUGAAAUAAUUCAAGAAGUCUGGUUAAAAAGAUGGCGAAGAAAAGAAAGAUCUGUUUAAAGAAUGUAGAUCAGUAUGUAUGGAUGUUAGAGAACCAGGAAUAAGGAAGAAGAUAAGCAGAUGGGGAAGGAAAGGUAGUAUCUGAUAGAAAGGAUGAUUUUGAAGAAAGGAAAAGAUUACUGAAAUAUGACAGGCUAUGUUUAGGGGAAAGCAUGAGAAGAUGGAAGGUAAAGAGGAUUAUUUGAAAGGGCUAUUUUGAGGAGGAAAAUGGUAAAGCUAUUUGAAGGAUAAGAGUCAACAGAAGUUUGGAAUAUAGUAGAAGUUAUUAAAUUAUGUUGAUUUAUAACUGAGGGUUUCAGAAAACGAUGGGAUAAGUUUUCUUUGUUUAACAGAUAAUGCACAUUUGUUAUAUGCAAAAGCAUAUAAUGCUUUGCAGUCAGGAAUAAGUCCUCUGGGAUUUGUAUUCUGGUAGGGGAGCUGGAGUUGUGCACAAAUACCUGUACUAUAAUCACCAAUAUAUCUGUGAUUCACAAAUACACCAAAUAUUACUGAAUUUAAAAGGCAAAAAAUGCAUUUGAUUAGGAGAAAACAUGGGGCAGCAUUUUAAUGGCAUAAAAGGGGAAUUUUAGCUAGUCUUUGAAGGGAUUGAUAGGAUUAUUAUUUUUUUUUUUUUUAAGUUUUGGAUUGAUAGGAUUCUGAGUGGCAAAGAUUACUGAAAGAGAGCAUUCCAGCCUGAAAGAUUAGCAUAAGCCAAGGCUUGGAGGUGAGAAGCCCAGAUGUGGGGAAUGGUGAUUUAGAUUUUAAGUUUUAAACUAUGACCUGUAAUAAGAAAUAGAUGUCACACUUCAUCUAAUAUAUGCAUGUGUAAAUGUUUAUGUGUGUGGGAAAAACAAAAAGUUUCAUAAUACUGUGACUAUCCUUACCAUGGUAGAUGCACUUGGAUGUUAUCUAUUUUGUUUGAUUAAAAAGAAAAAAAGCUGGCCAAGGCGAAAGAAAUAAAAGGUUGUCACUCCUUAAACUAAUUUUAUGACUAACAAAAUAAUUGAUCACAAUCAUAGUUUGGAACACAGAAAGUUCAUGAAUAAGGUAUAACAUAAGGUAGGAGAGUCAGUUGGGGUUGAGUUGAAAAUGGCCUUGACAGCUAAGCUAAGUAGUUUGUAUUUGAUAUUAUGUAGUGUUGUGCUUGGUAAGCAAACAGAAGCUGGGUUUUAGUCUUGGCUCUUCUGUUUGCCCACUGUAUGAUUAUGGAGAAUUAUUUCCUUUCUGAGUUUCCAUUUUCUCAUCAAGUUGAUAAUCGUACCUUUCUGGCAAGGGUUGUGGUGAGAAUGUGAGAAUUAAAGAAUAGGAUUAAAGUAUGUUAGCAUACAUUAUUAGUGUAUAUAGCUGUUGAACUUGCCUGAGUAGGGAAUUGAGCCAAGUACUGUAUAUUAGAUAGCUUCAUCUGGCAGUAGCUAUACCUUCUUGGAUAGAUUGUGGGUAAUGUGGUGGUAGAGUAACAUUGUAUGUGAAAAGACCAGUUAGGUGGCUCCUGGAGAAAUUAAAGAGGGCUUGAAUUAGUUUGAUAGCAAUAGGAUUAGAAUAUGGGAGUGGGAUGCAGUUGGAGAUAGGGAAGAGGGGAAGAUGACUGGAAAUGCACUGUUUAUUUAUUUGUUAUUAAUGAAUGAAUGAGUCAAUGACAGGCUGUUGAUCUGUUGCCCAGACUGGAGUGCGGUUGUGUGAACACAGUAGCUCACUGCAGCCUCUACCUCCUGGGCUCAAGUGAUCCUCUUGCCUCAGCCUUCUGAGUAUCUGGAACCACAGGCAUGUGCCACCACGCCUGGCUAAUUUUCAAUUUUUUUUGGAGAGAUGUGAUCUCACCAUGUUGCCUGGGCUGAUCUCAAACUCUUGGGCUCAAGUGAUCCCCUCCCUUGGCUUCCCAGAGUGUUGGGAUUACAGAUGUGCGCAUCCCCACUCCUGGCUGACUGGAAAUUUCGAGUUGUAGAAAUAUUCAAAUGGCAGCAGCUGAAAUUGGAUUAUAUUUUUGGGUAGUUUAGUGGAGUAUGUUAGAGUUUCAGUUUCUUUCAUGUAGUAGGUGCUCAAUUAUUUGUUGAAUGAUAGAAACUAAAUAUGUGAACUGUGAGGUGAAUUGUGAGUAGAGGGAGUGAUGGAUGGAUAUGAGAAGGAGGGUUAGGUUGAAGGAUAUGUUGAUGGACUGCCAGAAUUUAUUCAUUCAGGGUAUAUUUUUAUAUUUACUGUGCACAAGGAUCUAUGGCAGGCAGUGUGAAGGAUACAUGUUGAUAUAUGACACAGUCCAUGUUCUUCAGGAAUUUAUCCAGGGACAAAAUAAACACAUCUGCCCAUGACACCAGUACUAUGGCAAAUUUGAUUAGGAUUGGCUUUGUGGAGAAAUUGGUGUGUAGCUUAGACCUUGAAGGAUAAAUACGAUAAUAGUAGGCAAGAUGGUGAUGGUUGGCUGUUCAAGAAGAAGGGGUGAUAUAAGUGACAGUAAGCAAAGUUCAGGGUAUGUUUAGGGGUUGGCUAUAAUUUAGGGUUUGUGUUGAGGAAUGUCGGGAAAUAAAGCUGAAAAGUAGGCAGACUAUCUCAAAAUUCAGGCUAACCUGGUUUUUGAAAAUUUAUUAAGAUAUAUACAGUAAAGUGCCCCAAUCUUAAGGUACAGAUUAAUGAGUUUUUCUUAGGUAUAAAUAUAUGUAGCCACCACCCAGUUCAAUAUACAGGACAUUUCCAGGAUCCAGAAGGCUGCCUUGCAUGUCAUUUCCAAGCUGAUAACUCAUCCAACCAAAAAUAACUAUUAUUCUGACUUCCCUCAUAACAGAGUAGCGUUGUGUGUUUUUGAAUUUUGUGUAAGUGGAACCCUAUUUCUUGUCUAGUUUCUUUUCUCAAGGAGCCUGUCUGUGAGUUUUAUCCAUGUUGUGUUUUUCAUUGUGUGGUAUUCCAUCAUAUGAAUAUACCCCAGUGUAUUUAUCUAUUCCAUGAUUGUUGGUCAGUUGGAUGGUUUCAAUUUUUUUUGAAGUCUGAGGAGUUUUUUUUUUUUUUUGAGGCAGAGUCUCACUCUGUCACCCAGGCUGGAGUGAUAUGAUGUCUGCUCACUACAAUCUCCACCUUCUGGGUUCAAGCAAUUUUCCUGCCUCAGCCUCCUGAGUAGCCAUGGUUACAAGCACGCAACACCACACCCAGCUAAUUUUUGUGUUUUUAGUAGAGUUAGGGGUUUGCCAUCUUGGCCAGGCUGGUCUUGAACUCCUCACCUCAAGUGAUCCACCCACAUUGAUCUCCCAGAUUGCUGGGAUUAUAGGCGUGAGUCAUCGUACCUGGCUGAAGUCUGAGGAGUUUUAACAUAAAGUCAGUAUGCAGUGGAGAACCAUUGUUGAUUUUUGAAUUGGUAAAUAAGAGACUAUUUAAGAAUAUUAAUCCAGUUACCUUUUUUUGUAAUGAAGAGAAUCUGGUGACUGAGAGACAAAGUUAGGAAGACUAUGGCAAAAGUGUGAAGUAGGCUGGACAUGGUGGCUCACACCUGUAAUCUCAGCAUUUUGGGAGGCCGAGGUGGGCAGAUUGCUUGAGCUUAGGAAUUUGAGACCAGCCUGGGCAACAUGGCAAAACUUCAUCUCUACAAAAGAUAAAACAGUUAGCCAGGUGUGGUGGCACAUGCCUGUAGUUCCAGCCACAUGGGAGGCUGAGGCAGGAGAAUUGCUUGAACCCAGGAGGCAGAGGUUGCAGUGAGCCGAAAUCUGCACUCCAGCAUGGGUGACAGAGGGAGAUCCUGUCUCCAAAAAAAAGUGAAGUAUUGAGGGUAUAAGUUGGGUAGUGGUAGUGGGAAUAAAAGGAAAGGGAUAGAUAUAAGAAAUACCUCAAAGAAAGAAUUGGAAGGUUUGAUGGCAUACAGGGUUUUCGGAAACAGUAGAGAAAAAAAAAAAAACUGAAGAAAAGCUCCAGGGCUUUUAAUCUGGUUGACUGAGAUUGAUGGUGCCAUUAACAGAAAUGAUUAGAUCACUUAGCAGAACUGUUUCGGGGUUUUAAGACACACUGACCUGUGUGUGAGGCACCAGUGCUGGAUUGGAGCUAAGAAAAGAAGUCCAAUAUAGAGUUAGGAGUACAUACAUAGAGUUGAUAAUUGCAGCUACUAAUUCUGGAUUUAGUUAGGGCACUGAUGGUUAUGAAAUUAUUUGGAGUGAUAAUUGAAGUGUUACUUGAAGUAAUAGUUGAAUCUAGUUAAAAAGAAAUCAUUAUAUAUUUCAAUUCUAGUUAAAAAGAAAUUAUUAUAUAUUCUAAUUCCUUAGGAGUAAAUUGGAUUGUAGGAGAUGAUGAUGGUUUAAAGAUUAUUUUGUGGAGCUGGGGGAAGACAGAGCCAUAUGAAGAACGAAAAUGUUGAAGUAGUGGUGAGGGAUGAAACCCUUAGUGGCUGAGAAUUAUAGGAGGCUCCAGGUCAGAACUUGGGUAGGAAUUUGGGUAGGAAGAGGAGCAGCAGUGAUUUCAGAUAGAAGAAACAACCAGAGAAGUCACAGUAGAAUCAUGUGCUACAGUGUCAUUAAGCAAGGUGGGUAGCUCAAUGUCACUGCCAAAAAGAGGGUAAGGACUGGUCAGGGGUGGUGACUCAUACCUGUUAGGUCAGCACUUGGGAGGCUGAGGUGGGCAUAUUACUUAAUCUCAGGAGUUUGAGACCAUCCUGGGCAACAUGUUGAAACCUCAUCUCUACAAAAAAUAAUAAACUUUGCUGGGUAUGGUGGCAUGUGCCUGUAGUCCCAGCUACUUGAGGGGGCUGAGGUCAGAGGAUCACUUGAGCUUGGGAGGUGGAAGUUGCAGUGAGCUGAUACCGUGCCACUGCACUCCAGCCUGGGUUACAGAGCCUGUCUCAAAAAAAAAAAAAAAAAGAGGGUAAAGACUUCGGUGGGGGAUCAUAGAUUUUUUAAAUUUAUCUUAUAUUUUUUGUGGUCCUCAAGAGAGCAGUUCAGAGACCAGAGUGCAUGGGGAUUUACUGAGUGGGUUGGAAGAAUUUGGAAGCAAUAAAUGUAGGAACUGAAUUAAGUUUAGUUUGAGAAGGAAGAACAACAACUCUUAUUCUCAAACUGGAGACCAGAAGUAACAGAUGGAAGAAGAUACAGCAUUUUAGAAGCUGUGAAGAGGAUUUGAUUACAGGUGGAGAAGGUGUGAUUUGAGGGAAUUUUAUAGAAGGGUUUGAGUAUUUGAUGGGAUUAGGGAUUUAAUAUGAAAAUGAUUUGUAUUAGUCAAUGAGGCGGAGAGUUGUAUUUAGAAUAAAUCUGUUGUGGAAGAUUUCAUAGCUUUCUGGUGGUGCUUAACACCCAGUGUGUGGGUGUGGAGAAAACAGAUGGUGAAGAUUGUCUAUCACUGGGGAGAUGCAUAGUGAGAAUGAUGGAAGGUCAUGGAAUUCUGGAGAGGACAGUGUUAAAAUGGUUGAUGGACAGGUUUAAAUUAUGUAGGGAGACAAUAAAGCCGAGUGGAGUUAAAGUACAGGUCUACAACUAGAAUAUAAGUGGUUGUGGGUAAAGAAAAGGGAGGCGGUCUCUGAAGUUACAAUCCUAGUGGUACAGUACUUUUUUUUUUUUUUUUUUUGAGACAUAGUCUGGCUCUGUUGCCCAGGCUGGAGUACAGUGGCACAAUCUCGGCUCACUGCAGCCUCUACCUCCAGGUUUCAAGUGAUUCUCCUGCCUCAACCUCCUGAGUAGCUGGGAUUACAAGCAUGAGCCACUGCACCUCUCUAAUUUUUUAUAUUUUUAAUGAAGACAGGGUUUCACAAUGUUGGCCAGGCUGGUGUUGAACUCCUGACCUCAAGUGAUUGACCUGCUUUGGCCUCCUAAAGUGUUAGGAUUAUAGACGUGAGCCACUGAAGUUGGCCUAGCACUUUUCAGUUAAUUGAUGGCUCUGUUUUCAGUUUCUUUGUGGCUAUCUUAAGUGCAGAUGAAGGUUUUAGGAGCUUAUGAACGUCAUGGUAUAGAAAGUUCUUCAGCAUCAUUGUUGAAGUCAUUGAGAAUAAUGGUUGAAUUUGGGACCAAGUAGAAUUGGAGUCAUCGGGUAGGGAAAAUAGGAGGUUCUUCUGGAGGUUGGUGGAGAUUGGUAGAUGUUGCAGAAGGAGUGGUUUCAGUGAGUAAUGGGACUCCCAAGCUAUUUUUUAGUGAUAGGAUAAUGGGGAGUGGUCCUGGGAAGCAAGAAGCAGCAAGUCCUUUUUUAUCAAGCAGAAGGAGUAGGACAGUGAUAUAGCGAGUCAUGAGAGAAGCAGAUUGUCCAGGAAAAACCAGGCUUGAGGUAAGACAAGGAGGCAGAUGGUCACAAUAAUUGGGCAAGAGUUGACAGUGAUUGGAAUUGUUGAGCCACGGGGAUUGAGAACAGUAGCUAGAUUUGUUACAUUUACCAGUUCUUUCCAUUUUUUUUUUCUUUUUGAGACAGGGUCUUCUCUCUUACCCAGGCUGGAGUGCAGUGGUCCAAUCUUGGCUCACUGCAGCCUUGCGUCUUGGACUCAAGCGAUUCUCUUGUCUUAGCCUCCUGAGUAGUUGGGAUUACAGAUGUGCACCACCAUACCCUGCUUGGCUCCCCUCCCUCUCCUUCCCUCCCCUUCCCUUUCUUCCCCUCUCCUCCCUUCCCCUUCCUUCCUCUCUUUUUCUUCUUUUCUUUUCCCUCUCUUCCCUUCUCUCCUCUCUUCUCUCCUGUCUCCUCUCUCCUCUCUCCUCUCUUCUCUCUUUUCUCUUGUCUUCUUUCAGAUUUGGUCUUCCUGUGUUGCCCAGGCUGGUCUUGAACUCUGGGUCUGAAGUGAUCUUCCCUCCUUGGCCUCCCAACAGUUCGUUUAUAAAAUAAAUGAUACUUGCAAAAUUAUAACUAUUCAUGUAUAAUAUACUGAUAUAAAUUUAGCUGAGCGAUAAUUGUGGGUUAGAAAUGAGACAUUGGAAACAAAAGAUGAGGUAGAGGUGUACUAAAGAUAAGGUGAGCUGGGUGUGGUGGCUCAUAUCUAUAAUCCCAGCAAUUUGGGAGGCAGAGGCAGGAGGAUCACUUGAGCUCAGGAGUUGAAGAACAGCCUGGACAACAUAAGGAAACCCUGUCUCUACACAGAAAUAAAAAAUUAGCUGGGCAUCAUAGUGCACACCUAUAGUCCCAGUGACUCAGGAGGCUGAAGUGGGAGAAUCACUUGAGCCAUGGAAGUCAAGGCUGCAGUGAGCCAUGAUUGCACCACUGCACUGAGCCUGGGCAACAGAGUAAGACCCUGUCUUAAAAAAAUAAAAAGAUGAAGGUAAAAGAUAAAAGUCGUUCUGUUGUUUGUUGACAAUAGAACAUGGACAAGCUGAUAGGAUCUAGUAAAUAGAUGGACUGGAAAUGAAUGAGGAGGCUGAAGUUGUAGGCAUAGAAAAGAGGAGGGAGUAGCUUGCAGCAGAGAAAACAUGGAGAGAACAUAUGGAAAGGGAUUUAACCAGGCCAUGGUUUGUAGGGGUGAGGAUAUUGGCAAGCAUCACUAAGUGCAAUAUUUUUAUUAAAGAAACUGGGAAGUCGGGAGCCCCCAUAUUCCCUGGGUUUUUGCAGUCCAGGCCUGAUUGGGCCAGCUGUGUGGGCAGGGCUGUGCUGGUGCUGCACUGGGCAACUGGUGGAGCAGCAGCCUGGAGCUGCGUGGUGGUGGAUGUGCUGCCGCCUGUCUGGGUCUGUGCGCUCUUGGCCAGUGGUGGGGCGGGAGGGUGGGCGCUCCCUGAAGUGAGCUGGAAAUAACUGAUGUCAGGAGCCUAUUUCUUCUCUCUGUAAAUAAGAACAGUUUAUGCCACCCAUAAUAAAAGGUGGCAGUAUGUCAUGCCAGCUUUUAAAAAAAUAUUGUCAAUGAUAGAGACAUUGAGAUGUCUCUGUGUCCUUCAAAACCAUAUCACAUUUUCUGUUUGCAAAAACUGGGAAGAACUUGCAUAGGUAAAGAGGUUUAGGUAAAAAGUGGAAAGAAUGGGGUACAUGUUAAGAAUGAGAUGUCCUAACGGAACUAAAAAGGAUUCUUUACUUUCUUUUUUGUCUGUAAUGACUUUAAUAAUGCCGAAGUGCUGGAAUUAUAGACAUGAGCCACUGCGCAGGGCCCUUAUCAGAGAGAGAGCAUAUUUAAUGUAGAUGCAUGAAAUGGCAGUGAGAAAAAUAUGACAAGGCAUAAAAUAUGUAGUAUUGGUGUUCCAUCCUAGUGUAGCUUUGUUUCAGGAUUAGUUCCAGCAUGUAGCCCUGGGCUUUCAUCACUUUCUUCCUGCCUUUACUGCUACAUCUAUUUAGCCAUCAAAUUUAAUAAUGAAAGAUCUCUGGAGACUCAGAGUGUUGAAGGCCUAAGAGGGCCCACGGUUCUCACUUUGCUCAACUCACAAAACUUAGCCAUACCAUCAUGUAACAGCCCUGCCUGAUUCAGUCUAGAAUUGUUUUUAGGACAUGCCUCAGACUGGACCUUGUCAAGGGGGAGCAUAUUCUGAAUAUUUGGGUGGAUAUUAUGUGGGGUAGGCUAAUGAUGAAUAUCUUAAAGAUGGUGAUGGGGGGAUUAUAGUAGACAUGGAGAGAGGUGUGUUUUAAAUGGUAACUGAAUUAAUUUGGCAUAGGUAAAUGACUUCACAAUAUAGGGGUUUGACCUUUGAACAUCUAGGAUGGCAUGGAGAAGUUUUCCUUGUAAAUUUAAGAAGAGCCAAUAUCCAAGAGAGUAGAAUGAAAUGCACACUUGGGGUUCUGCAGGCUGCUUUAUAUGUGUGCUUAUGUACACACCUGUAUGUGUAGAUACAUAUUAGAGAGAAUUUGUCCAUUUGAUUAGGUUAUAUAGUUAGUCUUUAGGGAAGUGGGACUAAUAGUCCAACUAGUUUUGAGUUAUGGAUGAUUUAAGAGAAUUGUUACAGAAUAUUUGGAAAGAUCAUUUUCAAGGUUUUAAGGACAGGCCUAGGAAAUAGAUUUUUCUGUAACUGUGAGGGCUUCUGGAAUAGAUAUACAAGCUUUGAUGGCAUUUUAGGGCAAAGUUGUGUAAGUUGGAGAGUGUUAGCUUUGAGGAAAUUGGAACAUACAAGAAAAAUGUAGUGUUUGAGAAAGUUACUUAUGAAUUGAUUUGGUAGGAGCUGAUAAAAAUUAUAAAAGUUGCGGAGAGAUUUUGAAUAACUAGGUGGGAGAUAUGGAAGUGAUUUGUGAAGUUUCUUUUUUUUCUUUUUGAGAUGGCCUCUUGCUCUGCUGCCCAGGCUGGAGUGCAGUGGUGCAAUCAUGCCUCUCUGCAGCCUCCAUCUGCCAGGUUCAAGCAAUUCUCCUGCCUCAGCCUUCUGAGUAGCUGGGAUUACAGGUGCCCACCACCAUAUCUGGCUAAUUUUUUGUAUUUUUAGUAGAGAUGGGGUUUCACCAUGUUGGAUAGCCUGGUCUUGAACUCCUGACCUCAAGUGAUCCACCCGCCUCAGCCUCCCAAAGUGCUGGGAUUACAGGCGUGAGUCACCAUGCCUGUCUGAUUCAUGAAGCUUGUUACUUACAAGUAUUAGAAAAGUAAAAUUCAAAAGUAAAAUGGAAAGAUACUUUAGAGAAGACUUCUUUUGGGAACAGUACAAAACAGCAAGGCAAGGAAAAACUAAAAUCAGUAAAUUGGGGUGUGGAAAAAUUAGAAUAAGAGGGAGGAUUAAAGCAGAGGCUACUGAAAGAUUUCUUACUGUCAGGCUGUGUGAUAAUGCAAAGCUGUGUUCUGUGGUGUUUUGUUGGAUACCAUUGAUAGGUUCAUUAAGAAAAGGGGUUUAAACAGGCCCUGGUUUGUAGGGAUGAGGAUUGUGACAAGCAUCAUUAAGUGUAAUAUUUUUAUUAAAGAAACUGGGAAGUAGUGAGCCCUCAUAUUCCCUGGGCUUUUGCAGCCCAGGCCCAAAUGGGCCAGCUACGCGGGCGGUACUGUCCUGGCGCUGUGCUGGGUGGCUGCGGAGCAGCGGCGUGGAGCUGCGUGUUGGCAGGUGGGCUGCCGCCUGCCUGGGUCCCUGCGCUCUUGACUUGUUGGGGUUGUGGGUGUGCGCUCCCUUAAGUGAGCAGGCCUUGGGGCGGGAAGGACGAGCUUUUGCCAAUCUGUCUGGAGAACCCCCGCACGCGGUCCCCAUGGCUUCCUUUUGGUUGUGUGUGUCGACGCGUGAGUGUGCCGUUUGCAGGGACCAGCACCUUACGUGACUUCCUUUUGUGUGUACGUGCGUGCGUGCGCCCCUCUGCAGGGAGGAGGCGGAGGGGCGCGGAGAAGCUGGCGCGUUUUGGGCCUUGGUGGAGUCGUCUGCCGCGUCUGGACCUUCUGGGUCUGCCCGGCUGGUGCAGUCAGGGCUCAUUCCCUCAGCGGGAAGGGAAACUUUGUGAGCGGCUUCUCUGCAGCCACUAACAAGUGUCCACCAGAUAGCGGGGCGCGGGGGGAGCGGGGAGCCGCCCAAGGCUGAUAAUGAAUGGACACCCCGGUUUUCCACUUAUUCUUGUUUUACAAAUUUUCUGUUGAACUGCAUUGUGUUUACAGUUUGAUGUCUGCGAAAAGGUCAACAGGUAACUUGGUUUACUAGACAGCUUUUUACUGGGUAUUAAGAGCAAAUAAUGUACACCUGUAUCCUUAUAUUAGCAAACCCUUCAUAUUCAGUCGUAAGAAUAAUCCUAAGGCUUUUCCAGAGUUGGGAUCUGGGGCAAACUUUUGCUCUCCAGACUUUGUGAAGCACCUUUUACCAUGCCAGGAAAGAACUGCUUGUGCAGUAGACUGAAAGCUAGAGUUGCACAUGCAAAAGUUGAAGCUCUUUGCAAUAGCUUGAAUUUAAAACAGCUUUUUGUUUUACAUAAUAAUUGUGAUUAGUUUACAUACAGAAUUUUGCAAAAUUAAGCAUGGUGUGAUUAAAAAAGCGUUUCUUAAUUUUAUAGAGGGCAGUGUUAAAGGCACCAUUCAAUUUGGAAGUUUCAAGUAUGUUAAAUGUUGCUAUAAAUAAAAUCCUAUUCAGAUUUUUAGAUUUAACAAAUCUAAAAAUAUGUUUGCAGUUGUCCUUUGGGUACAGGAGGAAGUCCUGGGUUUCUCUGUACUUGUUUCUGGGCAGAUUUUGAGUAUUGUCAGCAUGAUAUGGGUAUAGAACCUUAAUCUGAGCGAAUAAUUUGCUUGAGAUUACCAGUCUGUUUUGGAGCUGGGAAUAGACUCUGGGUCUCUUUAUGUUCAGUCUGGUGACCAAUCCAAGAAUAGACUAAGGAAACUGGGUAUUUGUUUGGUGGAAAAUAUGGCUGAGCCAAAAAGUGAACGUGUGAAAGUUAACUUUUCUGAUGUAACAUUUAAAUGUAAUUUAUCCACACUGGAUUCCUUUGGCCUUUCUUUAAAAACAGAGGACUUGAGGAUAUUCCACAGUGUUACUUCUAGUGGGAUUCGUACCACAUUUACAUUUGAUUAAAACGGAUAGAUGCUUAUGGUAUUUAACUGGGGGUAGAUGUGUUUUUCAUGUGAAUAUUCUCAGCGGUUAGAAUAGGUAGUAACUUGGGCACUUUUAGCCUCCUUGAAAUGCUAGGGAGAAGAGGAAUUAAGUUAAUGUCAUUAAUCUGUGUUAACCUUUGGACCUCUUUAUUGAGAAUUCUUAAGGCAUGAAUGGAAUACCUAUGGAUUUCCCCAUAGUUUAUAUACUUUUAUUCUCAUUGUUACUACAUUGACCACACACAACAAUAUUUAAUUCAUGUUUUUCAGUAGGCCUCAUACAAGAGGGUACCUUUUUAUAGUAUAUGAGCUGCGGUUGGCUCUUUUUAAAAAAAAAAAAAGGAGACUGGGGUCUCACUAUGUUUACCAGGCUGGUCUCAAACUCUUGACCUCAAGCUGUCUUCCUGCCUCAGCCUCCUAAAGUGCUGGGAUUACAAGUGUGAGCCACUGUGCCCAGCCCUACCUUUUGUUUUGCUGAUAAACAUUCCUGUCCUUUCUUAUGCCAUUCCUCCUAUAUUGUAAAACAAAAACAGCCGUUUUCCUUUUUCCCUUCUCCAAAAACCCCUGGAUAUUUUAAAUCGAAUAUAGUAGUUUUCAAACCAGAGGUGAUUUUGUCAAAUGUCUGGAGACAUUUUUGGUCAGCAUGCUGGGGGGGUUCUACUAGCAUCUACUGGAUAGAUAAACCUCCUACAAUGCAUAUGACAGUCUCCAUGACAAAGAAAUUAUCCUGUGCAAAAUAUCAGUAGUGCUGAUGUUGACAAAACGCUGAUCUGAUUUAUUGAGAAUAACAUUCUCCCAAGUGAUUUAAACCUAUUAAAGUUAUUCAUCAUGUAAUUGAUACUUCUAUAUCUGUAAAUUAUAAAUCUUUUUCCAAUGUUGUCAUUGGAAUGAUCAUGAGUCAAAGGUUAUGAAGUAUGUAUUAGAACAUUAGAAUACAGGCUUGUGGAGCUGGAAGACUUAACAGGUAUAAGUCCUUCAGUAUGUAGAUGAAGAAACUGAGUUUUGGAGAGAUGGUGACUUACCAAGGCCGGACAGAUAAUGCAGAGCUCAGGUCUCUUGUUACUUCUACUUCUUAGUUUAAAUCAUUACUGAAGGAAAGGGUGUGGUAUCACUUUUGCUUGAUAUAGUUAAAUUUAAUCAAAUUAAAAUUUUAAAUAAUUGUAUUGUAAGAAAUACUCUUUCAGUGAAUUUCUGUUACUUUUUCAGAUUCACAGAUACUUUUGAAUUCUUCAGCAUGGUAUUGUUACCACUGUAAACUUUUCAGUGGCUGCUUUUAAAAUGUCUGAAAAAUUUAAAAAGACCACAUACACAUUUUAAAACAAAACAUUUAACGUUAGUUAUGAUAGCUUAGGUAAAAUUUUGAAUGGAAACUCAACCAGAAUUAUUGAAACAUUUUAGGGUAUCCUGAACUUAACAUAUAUAUUUGUUCUGUUGUGUGAGGAUCACUAAAGUAGUGAGUUAUUGUGCUGAUUGUAAAUCUGUUAUAGCAAGGCCCCUUAGUUAAUUUUAGAAAAAGAUACUGGAACUUUCAGGUGACAUGUAAUUGGGGAAAUAUCAAUUGGAUAUUUAGAUGAAAUAUUUUUCAGAUUACUUAAGCAGUGUAUUGUCAGAAGAAGUAUCAACAGGGUUCUUUUUAAAAUUAAUUUUUUUAAAAACUGGGCAACACUUAAUUAUAUAAAAUAUCAUGUGUUCCCUCAAUGGGGUUCUUUCAUAUUUAAUUUUUUUUCCUAAAAACCAAAAAGAAAAAAAGGCGAACUGAGUUUUUCAGGGUCUGAAUGUCUUGAGUGUGAUUUGUGUGGCCGCAGGAGCAUGGACAUCUCCAAAAAGACAAUUAUGAGCAAAGAUUUCCUUAAAAAUUUAUGUAAGAAAUUUAAAUUAAAAAAUUUUUUUUAAUUUAGAUUUUAUAUAAGAAAUUUAUUUUGUAGAAAAAAAUGUGUAUUAGCAUAAAGGAAAAAGUAAGAGAAACUGCUUUUAAUAUUUGGUAUAUGGCUUUCUUAUAUUUUUGUUAACCUUUAAUUAUGGAAAAAUUUAAAUAAUGAAAAAUAGAAUAAUAUUAUGAACUCUCAUAUAGCAAUUAAUGGCUAAUCUUAUGUCAUCCGUACCUCCACCUUACACCUCUCUCCUCUCUCUUUUUUAGUUUUUAUAGAGAGAUGGGCUCUUGCUCUGUUGCCCAGGCUGAUCUCAAAUUCCUAGGCUCACAUGGUCUUCUCACCUUGGCCUCCCAAAAUGUUGGGAUUACAAGCAUGCGCCACUAAACUUGGCCUCACAUAUUAAUUUUUUUUAAAACUUAUUCUGGGCCUUGCACAGUGGCUCACGCCUGUAAUCAUUACACUUUGAGAGACCAGGGUGGGUGAAUCUCUUGAACUCAGGAGUUCAAGAACAUCCUGGGAAACAUGGCCAAACUCUGUCUCUACUAUGAAGAAAAGGAAAAAACCUUUAUUUUGAAAAAAUUAUAGACUCACUGGAAGUGGCAAAAUUAGUACAGAAUCCUAUGUACCCUUCACCCAGUCAUCUUAGUAAAGUUCUAGUAAGACAUCAAAACUAGGAAGUUGACGUUAGUAUAUUACUGUUAACUACACUACUGAAUUUACAUCAUUUUCACUAUUUUUUAAACCUGUGCUUAUUUUUGUGUAUGUAUAGUUCUAGUAAUUUUAUCCCGUAUGUAAAUUGAUGUAACUACCAGGAUGACCAAGAUACACAGUGCUAUCCCUUUAUAUUCUCACCCAUUCCAACACUUCUCCUUGUACCCUGGCAAACUGUUUACUAGCUAUAGUUUUGUUCUUUCCAGAAUGACAUACUUUAUUUAUGUAUGUAUAGUUUGUAUACAUACUUUGUUUAGCCAUUCACUUGUUGAAGAACUUUUCGUAUGUUGCAGUAUUUUGUUGUUAUGAAUAAAGAGGUUAUGGAGAUUUGUGUACAGGGCUUAUUAAAAACAAAAGUUUUCAUUUAUCUGAGAUAAAUGCCCAAGAGUAGGGGUUUUAUGGCAAGUACAUGUUGAGUUAUUUAAGAAACUCCAAACUGUUCAAAACUCAGCUGAACAUAGUUGUGUUGGUCUGUUUUGGGGUUUUCUAUUCUCUUCCAUUGAUAUGUGUGUCUCUCUUCCCUCUUGUACCACACUGUCUUGAUUAUUAUAGCUUUACGGUAAGUCUUACCAAGUAGAGUGCCUCCUCUCACUUCAUUCUUCUGUCAAGAUUGUUUUAGCUCUUCUGUUUUUUUUUUUUGCCUUGCCACACAAUUUUAGAAUAAUUACAUCUGUAUCUACAAAAAAAAAAAUCUUGCUGGGAGUUUGAUACGAAUUGAAUAAAACUAUAGUUCAAUUAGAGAAGCUUUUUUUUUUUUUUUGUUAUAUAGAGGCCUUCAAGCCAUGACCACAGGAUAUUUCUCCAUUUACUUAGAUCUUCCAUAUUAUUUUGAAGCAAAUUCCAGCCAUCAUAUAGUUUUUCUUAAAUGGCAUUAUUGAGGUAUAACUUAUAUACCAUACAAUUUACCCACUUAAACUGUACAGUUCAGUUAUUUUCAGUAUAUUUACAGAGUUGUACAGCCAUCACCAUAAUCAGUUUUAGAACAUUUUCAUCAUUUUAUCUAGAAACUACCCAUUAGCAGUGAAUUUCCUUUCCCUCUUUCUCCCAGUCCCUGGCAACUACUAGUCUACUUUCAGUCUCUAGGACUUUCCCUAUUCUGGACAUUUCGUGUGAAUGGAAUAAUAAUGUAGAUUGACUUUAUGUCUGGCUUCUUUAACUUAGUGUAAUGUUACAUGAUGUAGCAUGUGUCAGCAGUUCAUUCCUUUUUAUUGCUGAAUAGUAAUCUAUUAUAUGGACUUACCACAUUUUUUUGUAUCCAUUCAUCAGUUGUUGGGUUUCCACUUUUUUUUUUUUUUUGGCCAUUAUGAAUAAGGCUGCUGGGAACAUCCAUGUGCAAGGAUUUUUUUUCUUUUCUUUUUUUUUCCUGAGAGAGAGGUUCACUCUUAUUGCCCAGGCUGGAGUGCAACGGCAUGAUCUCGGCUCACUGCAACCUCUGCCUCCUGGCUUCAAGUGAUUCUCCUGCCUCAGCCUCCUGAGUAGCUGGGAUUACAGGCACCCAUUACCGUGCUCAGCUAAUUUUUUGUGUUUUUGGUAGAGACAGGGUUUCAUCAUGUUGGCCAGGCUGGUCUUGAAUUCUUGACCUCAGGUAAUUCACCCACCUCGGCCUCCGAAAGUGCUGGGAUUACAGACAUGAGCCACCAUGCUUGGCCCAUGUGCAAGUUUUUAUGUGGACAUUUGUUUUCAUUUCUUUUGUGUAUACGUGUAUGUGUCUAGGAGUGAAAAAUUGCUGAGUCAUACGGUACCUCUAUGUUUAGCCAUUUGAGGAACUUCCAGACUACGUUCCAAAGAAGCUUUACCAGUUUACAUUUCUUCUUCUUCUUUUUUUUUUAUUUUAGCUAGAGCUCCAAAUCUGGGCUAUCUCUUUUUUUUUCUAGAAAGAAAAAAAAAGGAGGGAAGAAAGAGGAAGAAAAAGAGGGAGAGAGAACGGGAAUGUUGCUUUAUUCUAAAAAUGGGUAUUAAUAAUGGCUGAUCAAUAUUUUGUGUGUUUAGGGUGGAGAAUGUAUAUUUUGUGUAUUUAAACUGGAGAGCUCUAUAAAUAUUUAUUGAGUUUACUUGUUCCGGAUCUGAGUUCAAGUCCUGGAUAUCCUUAUUAAUUUUCUGUCUUGUUGAGUCUAAAUCUCUUUAUGGGUCUUAUGUAUCUGGGUGUUAGGAUCGUUAGCUCUUAUUGUUGCAUUGAUCCUUUUAGCACUGUAUCUUUGUUGCUUUGAAAUCUAUUUUAUUAGAUGCGAGAAUUGCAACUUCUGCUUUUUAUUUAUUUAUUUUUGCUCUCCAUUUGGUUGGUAAAUCUUUCUCCAUCCCUUUGUUUUAAGUCUUUGUGUAUCUUUGGAUGUGAAAUGGGUCUGGAUGUAGCAUACCAUUAGGUUUUGGCUGUAUCUUUUGAUUGGGGGAUUUAGUCAACUUAAAUUCAGGUUACUGCCAUUUGAUGUUAACUGGCUAUUUUAUCCAUUCGUUGAUGUAAAUUCUUUAUGUUGAUGCUCUUUACUUUUUGGUAUAUUUUUAGAAAGGCUAAUACUGGUUGUUCCUUUCUAUGUGUAAUGCCUCUUUCAGAAGCUCUUGUAAAGCGGGGCUGGUGGUAAUAAAAUCUCUGAGUACUUGCUUGUUCAUAAAAGAUUUUAUUUUUCCUUCAAUUGUGAAGCUUAGUUUGGCUGGAUAUAAAAUUCUGGGCUGAAAGUUCUGUUCUUUAAGAAUGUUGAAUAUUGGCCCCCACUCUAUUCUGGCUUGUAGGGUUUCUGCUGAGAGAUCUGCUGUAAGUCUAAUAGGCUUCCCUUUGUGGGUAACCUGACCUUUCUCUCUGGCUGCCCUUAGUAUUUUCUCCUUCGUUUCAACCCUGGUGAAUCUAACGAUUAUGUGCCUUGGGAUUGCUCUUCUUGAGGAAUAUCUUUGUGGUGUUCUCUUUAUUACCUCAGGUUGAAAUAUUGUCCUGCUUUGCUAGGUUGGGAAAGUUUUCCUGAAUAAUAUCCUGAAGAGUAUUUUCCAGCUUGGAUUCAUUCUCUCAGUCACAUUCAGGUACACCUAUCAAACAUAAAUUAGGUCUUUUCACAUAGUCCCAUAUUUCUUGGAGACUUUGCUCAUUCCUUUUUAUCCUUUUUUCUCUAUUCUUGUCUUCUUGUUUUAUUUCAUUAAGUAGGUCUUCGACCUCUGAUAUCCUUUCUUCUGCUUGAUCAAUUCAGCUAUUCAAACUUGUGCAUAUUUCGCUAAGUUCUCGUGUUGUGUUUUUCAACUCCGUUAGUUCAUUUAUAUUCCUCUCUAUAUUGUCUAUUCUUGUUAGCAUUUUGUCAAACCUUUUUUCAAAGUUCUUAGUUUCUUUACAUUGGGUUAGAACAAGUUCUUUUAACUCCCAGAAGUUUAUUAUCAUCCACCUUCUGAAACCUACUUCUGUUAGUGGAACACAGUCCUUUUCCAUCAGGGUUUGUUCCAUUGCUGAUGAGGAACAAUAAUCCCCUGCGGAGGGAGAGGGGUUCCGAUUUUGGGUAUUCUCAGCCUUUUUAGGCUGGUUUAUUCCCUUUGUUAUAAAUUUAUCCAUCUGUCGUCUUUAUGAUUACCACCUUUCUAGUUGGGUUUCUGAGUGGAUGUCCAGCGCUGGAAUCCGAGCAACCCACUGCGCUGGCCAAAACGGCAAUGGUAAGACUGAUGGUGCUCUUCUGCCCGGGAAUCUCCUCCCAUUUACUCUGCACGAAGAGCUGCUGCGCUGAGGCGCCGGCAAAACUGCUGCGCCAGCCACAAGAGUCGCGCUGGUGACCCGUGGGGCUCCUCCACUGGGAAUCUUCCGGUCCGUGAGCGACGAAAAUUCGUCUGAAAAUGUGGCGUCCUCUCGUUCUCUGUGCUUUCACUGGGAGCUACAAUCCUGAGCUGUUAGCGAUCAGCCAUCUUGGAUCAAUCCACCAGUUUACAUUUCUAUCAGCAUUAUAUGAAGAUUCCAGUUUCUCCAUGUCUUCAAUAACAGUUCAUACUGUCUUUUUGAUUGUAGCUAUGCUGGUGGGUGUGAAGCAGUAUUUCAUGGUUUAAUUUGCAUGUCUGUUGGCUAAUGAUGUUGAGCAUCAUUUCAUCUGCUUAUUGGCCAUUUAUAUAUAUUUUUUGGAGAAAUGUCUUCAGAUCUUUUGCCUGAUUUUUAGUUGAGUUGUCUUUUUAUUGUUGGGUUUUAAGGGUUUUUAAUAUGUUCUGAAUAUUAGACUUUUAUCAGUUAGAUGAUUUGCAAAUAUUUUCUCCAAUACUGUGGGUUGUUGUCACUUUCUUGAUAGUGUCUUUUGAAGCAUAACAGUUAAAAUUUUUUUAUUGUAAUAAAAAAUACAUAAUAUGAGAUCUACCCUUUCAACAAAUUUCUAAGUGUACAGUAUAGUAUUGUUAACCGUAAGUACAAUGUUGUACAGAUCUCUGGAAUGUUUUCAUUUCAGAUAGCUUAAACAAUACCCAUUAAAUAGCAAUUGCUUUUUUUUUUUUUUUUUUUUUUUUUAAAGACAAGGUCUUGCUUUGUGGCCCAGGCUGGAGUACAGCAGCACAGUGAUGGCCCACUGCGGUCUUGACCUCCUGGGCUUAAAUGAGCCUCUCACCUCAGCUUUUUGAGUAGCUAGGACUAUGGGCACCUGCCACCAUUCCUGGCUAAUUUUAAAAUUUUGUAUUAUUUUUGUAGAGACUGGGUCUCAUUCUGUUGCCUAGGCUAGAGUGCAGUGUUGUGAUCACAGCUCACUACAGUCUUGACCUCUUGGCCUCAAGCAAUCCUCCCACCUUGGCCUUGCAAAGUGCUGGGAUUACAGGUGUGGGCCACCGCACCCAGCCUCAACUCCUCAUUUCUACCUCUUCUCAUCCCCUGGCAACCAUUGUUUUACUUUCUGCUUCUAUGAGAUUGACUGCUUUAUCUUAAAUCCCUCAUAAAAGUGGAAUCAUAUAGUAUUUGGCCUCUUGUGACUGUAUUAUUUCACUUAUAAUGUUCUUAAGGUUCAUCCAUGUUGUCAACAUUAUAGAAUUUCCUUCUUUUAGGGUGAAUAACGUCCCUCGGUGUGUGUGUGUGUGUGUGUGUGUGUGUGUGUGUGUUUGUGUAAAGAGAGAGAGGUUAUAUUUUCUUUAUCCAUUCAUCUGUUGAUUGACAUUUAGGUUGUUUCCACAUCUUGGCUAUUGUAUGUAAUGCUGUAAUGCAGGGGUCCCUAACAUCUGGGCCAUGGACCACUGUCAGUCCAAGGCCUGUUACAAAUUGUGCUGCACAGCAGCAAGUGAGUGGCAGGUGAACAAGCAUUAUUGCCUGAGCUCUGCCUCCUGUCAAAUCAGCAGUGGCGUUAGAUUUUCUUAGGAGCAUGAACCCUGUUGUUAACUGUGCAUGUGAGGGAUCUAGUUUACAUGCCCUUUAUGAAAAUCUAAUGCCUGAUGAUCUAAGGUGGGACAGUUUCAUCUUGAAACCAUCCCAUCACUCAUUGAAAAAUUGUCUUCCAUGAAACCAGUUCCUGCUGCCAAAAAGGUUGUAACCACUGCUGUAGUGAACAUGAGUGCAAAUAUUUCCUCAAAAAUUCAUGGUGGUGGCUCACACCUGUAAUCCCAGCACUUUGGGAGGCCAAGGCGAAUGGAUCAUUUGAGGUCAGGCAUUUGAGACCAGCCUAGCUAACAUGGUGAAACACGGUCUCUACUAAAAAUAUAAAAAAAAUUACCCAGGUCUAUGUAGUCCCCGCUACUUGGGAGGCUGAGGUGGGAGAAUCACUUGAACCUGCAAGGACGAAGGUUGCAGUGAGCCAAGAUUGUGCCGUUCCACUGUAGCCUGGGUGACAGAGUAAGACUGUCUCAAAACAAACAAACAAACAAAAACCUAUUAUUAGUUAUUUUGGAUAAAGAUGCCGAAGUGGGAUUUCUGGAACAUACAGUAGUUACAUUUUUAGUUUUGUGAGGAAUCUCCAAAAUUUUUUUUAAAAUAGUGUCUGCAGCAUUUUGCAUUCCUAUGAACAGUAUGUAGGGUUUACAGCAUCUCCAUCCUUGUCAACACUUGUUAUUCUUGUUUUUGGAUAAUGGUCGUUCAUACAAGUGCAUGUAUCUUUUUUGUACACUGAUUUAUUUCUUUUGGAUAUAUACCCAGUAAUGGGAUUAUGGGGUUGAAUACUACCUCUGUUUUAAGUUUGUUUGUUUUUUGAGACUGGAUGUGACUCUGUCACCUGAGCUGUAGUGCAGUGGUGAGAUAAUACAUAGCUCACUGCAGCCUCAAACUCCUGGACUCAAGUGAUCCUCCCACCUCAGCCUCCAAAAGUUCUGGGAUUACAGCUGUCAACCACCACAUCGGGCCUGUUUUAAGUUUUUUGAGAAAUCUCCAAACUGUUUUCCAUAGUGGCUGAACUAAUUUACAUUUCCACCAACAAUAUUUAAGUGUUCCCUUAAAUAGCCAUUCUUACUGAUAUGAGAAGGUAUCCCAUUGUGAUUUUGAUUUGCAUAUUCCUGAUGAUUACUAAUGGUAAGCAUCUGCUUAUAUACCUUUUGGCCUUUUGUAUGUUGUCUUUGAAUAAAUGUCUUCUUAGGUCCUUUGCCCAUUUAAAAGCAGGUUAUUUAUUUAUUUAUUUUUGCUAUUGCGUUAUAGGAGUCAUAUAUUGUGGAUUUUAGCCCCUUAGCAGAUGUAUAGUUUGCAGAUACUUUAUUCUGUAAGUUGCCUGUUUCCUCUGUUGAUUGUUUUCUUUGCUCUGCAGAAGUUUUUUAGCUUGAUGUAGUCUCACUUGUCUGUUUUUGUGCUUGUUGCCUGUGCUUUUGGUGUCAAAUUGUAGAAAUCAUGUCUAUGUUUGAAGCUUUUCUCUCAUGUUCUCUUCUUGGAGUUUUACAGUUUCAGGUCUUACUAAAGUUUCUCAUCUAUUUUGAGUUGACUUCUAUGUAUGGCGUAAAAUGAGGGUCAAAUUUGAAUUCUUUUUAUAUAGCUGCCCAGAUUUCCCAGUACCAUUUAUUGAAGAGACUGUUCUUUUCCCAUUGUGAAUUCUUGGCACCUUUCUUGACGAUCAAUUGCCUUUAUAUGCUUGGGUUUAUUUCUGGGCUUUCUGUUCUGUCCUAUUGGUCUGUAUGUCUGUUUUUAUGCCAGUACCAUACUGUUUUGAUAUGUUUUGAAAUGAGGAAGUUUGAGGUCUUUAGCUUUGUUGUUCUUUCUCGAGAUUGUUUUGGCUACAUUUGGGGCUUUUUUAGUUCUGUUUGGGUUUUAGGAUUGUUUUUGUGCUCCUGUAAAAAAUGCCAUUGGGAUUUUCAUUGAGAUUGUAUUGAAUCUGUACAUCACUGUGGGUAGUGUGAAUAUUUUAAUAUUACAUCUUCUAAUCCAUGAACAUGGAUGUCUUUCCAUUUAUUUGUGUCUUUAAUUUUUUUUAACAGUGCUUUGUAGUUUUCAGUGUACAAGUCUUUUGCCUCCUUUGUGAAGUGUAUUCUUAAUUAUUCUUUUUGAUGCUGUUGCUGUUGUAUAGCUCUUUUUUUUUUUUUUUUUUUUAAAUUUAGAAUGGGGUCUUGCUUUUUUGCCUGGGCUGGAGUGCACUGGUGCUAUCACAGCCCGCUGCAACCUUGAUCUCCCAGGCUCAAGCAGUCCUCCAGCUGCAGCCUCCCGAGUAGCUGGGACUGUGGCACAUACCACCACGCCCAGCUAAUUUUUUUUUUUUUUUUUUUUUGGUAGAAACAAGGUCUUUCCAUGUUUCCCAGGCUGGUCUCAAACUCCUGGGCUCAAACGAUUCACCUGCAUUUGCUGGGAUUACAGGUAUGAGCCACUGGACCAGGAUUUUAAUCCAUUUAAUGUUUGUAUAUGGAAUGAUGAAGGUAUCCAAUUUCAUUCUUUUGCAUGUAGAUGUUCUUUGGUUCUAGCACUGGUUUGUUGAAAAGACUUCAUUCUCUAUUGAAUUGUCCUGGCAUCAAAAAGUUGGUUGACUUAGCCUUGUGCAGUGGCACACUCCUAUAGUCUCAGCUGUUUGCGAGGCUGAGAUGGGAGGAUCUUUGAGCCCAGGAGUUCGAGUCCAGCCUGGGCAACAUCAUAAGACACCCCGCUUCUAAAAAAAGAAUACAUAAAAUUUAACAAAAAAGAUUGACCAUAAAUGUAGAUAUUUAUGUCUGGACUGUAAAUUCUAUUCCUUGAUCUAUAUGUUUAUCUUCAUUCUAGUACCACAGUGUCUUAAUUACUGUAGCUUUGUUAGUUUUAAAAUCAGAAUGUAUGGAUCCUCCAACUUUGUUCUUCUCGUUCAAGAUUGUUUUGGAUUUUCUCUGUCCUUUGCAAUUCCAUAUUAAUUUUAGUAUUAGUUUGUCCAUUUCUGCAAGAAAAGCUUCUGGGGUUUUGAUAUGAAUUGCAUUGAAUCAGUAGGUGAUUUGAUGAAGCAUUUUCAUCUUAACAAUAUGAAGUUUUUCAAUCCAUGAACACUAUAUGUUUGUUUAGGUCUUUAUUAAUUUCUUCCAGGGAUGUUUUGUAGUUUUCAGUGUACAAUUGUACUUGUUUUGUUAAAUUUAUUACCAAGCACUUUAUUUAUUUUUUGCUGCUAUUAUAAAUGUUAUUUUCUUAAUUUUAUUUUUGAAUUGUUCAUUGCUAGUGUAUAGAAAUAUAACUGAUUUUUGUAAACUGUUCUUGUACUUUGCAUCCUUGCCGAACUUGUUUAUUCUGGUAGCUUUUAGUGGAUUCCAUAGGGUUUUCUAUAUUUAUGAUCAUGUCAUCUGCAAAUAGAGUUUUAUUUUUUUCCAAUAUUAAUGCCAUUUAAUUCACUUUCUUGCUUAAUUUACUGUCCAUUCUCACAUUGCUAUAAAGCAAUAUCCAAGACUGGGUAAUUUAUAAAGGAAAGAGGUUUAAUUGACUCAUAGUCCACAUGGCUGGGGAGGCCUCAAGAAACUUACAAAUAUGGCAGAAGGCGAAGUGGGAGUAAGGACCUUUUUCACAUGUUGGCAGGAGAGAGAAGUGCAAGUAGUGGAAAUUCCAGAUGCUUAUACAACCAUCACAUCUUUGAGAACUCAUUCACUAUUACGAGAACAGCAUGGGGCAACUGCCCUAUCAUCCAGUCAUCUCUCUCCCUUGACACGUGGGGUUUACACGUCCCUCCCUUGACGUGGGGAUUAUAAUUUGAGAUCAAAUUUGGGUGGGAACACAGAGCCAAACCAUAUCAUUUACCUUGCUCUAGUACCUCUACUACAGUGUUGAAUAGAAGGAGUAGCAAGAGCAGACAUCCUUGUCUUAUUUCUAAUCUUAGGAGGAAGCACUUAUUAUUUUACUUUUAAAUAUGAUAUUAGCUUUGGAUUUUUCAUAGAUGGCCUUUAUCAGGUUGAAGAAGUUUCCUUUCCUAGUUUGUUGGGUGUUUUUAUUGUGUAAGGGUAUUGUAUUUCAUCAGAUGUUUUUCUUCAUCUGAGAUGAUUUGCCAAAAAUAAAGGUUUUUGGCCUUUGUUCUUUUGAUGUGGUGUAUUAUAUUGAUUUUCAGAUGUUAAGCCAACCUUACAUUUCUGAGAUGAAUCCUACAUGGUCAUACAUUAUCCUUUCUAUGUGUUGGUAUAUCUGGCUUGUUAAUAUUUUGUUGAGGAUUUUUGCUACUACAUUUGUAAGAGCUAUUGGCUUGUCAUUUUCUUUUCUUGUGAUGUCUUUUUCUUGUGUUGGUAAUAGUAAUACUGAUCUUAUAAAAUGAGUUGAAGAAUAUUCUCCCCAAUUUUUGGGAAGAGUUUGUGAACAGUUGAUAUUAAUUUUUCAUUAACCAUUUGGUAGAAUUCACCAGUGAAGCCAUCUGAGCCUGCAGGUUUUUGUUUUUGUUUUUGUUUUUGGCAGCAGCUGGGGGGACUUUUAAAUUAAGAAGUCAGUUUUAUUUAAUGGUUAUAGGAGUUAUUUGUAUUCUCUGCUUCAUCUUGGUUGUGUUUUGCUAGUGUGGUUUUGAGAAUUCGGUGUCAAGUUUAAGAUCAUAAAGUUGUUUGUAGUAUUCCCUUAUAUUCUUUUAAAAUUGCUGUAGGAUCUGUGCUGGUGUCCUCUGUUAAAUUUUCUGUCUCCUCUUUGUCUUUUGUUGUUGUUGUUAGUUUUACUAGAGGCUUAUAAACUUUUUGCUUAAUUGAUUUUCUCUAUUUUCCUCUUUUUUAUUAAUUUCUCCUCUUUAUUAUUUUCUUCCUUCUUGCUUUGGCUUCAUUUUGCUCUUUUUUAGUUUCUUUUGGUAAUUUGGUUACUAGUUUGACAUCUUUCCUCAUGUCUAAUGUAAGCAUUUAGUGCUUCUGAUUGUUGUUAGCUACAUCCCAUGUAUUUUGAUAUGUGUUAUGUUUUUAUUUUCAUUUAUUUUUACGUAUAUUUUAAAAUUUUAUUCGAGACUUCCGUUUUGAUCCAUGGACUCUUUAGAAGUGUGUUGUUUAUUCAUCUGUUUAGAGAUUUUCCUAUUGUCUUUCUGUUACUGAUUUCUGGUUUGAGUAGAUUAUGGUCGGAGAAUACAGUGUUACUGUUUCAGUUCUUUUAAGGUUUUUGAGGUUUAUUUUAUGGCUUUGGUGAAUGUUCCGGGGUACGUUCACCAAAUGAAAAUGUAUAUUCUGCUAUUAUUGAGUGGAAUAUUCUUUAUAUAAGUUAAUAAGACUGUUGGUUGAUUGUGUUGUUAAUGUAACCACUCUGCUUAAAACAGUUUAUUGUUAUAUCUUUCCAUUAUUGUGCUUUCAACUAUGUUGCUGAAUUUGAAUUUCUUGCAAGCAACAUAUAAUUGGGCCAUUAAAAAGAAAAAUCUACUCAAGCUGUUGUUACUACCACCAGCACAGCUGUGCCAGAGCUGAGAGAAGAUCCAGAGCCCAGAGCAUCCAGGCCACUGCCUCACCUCCACCUGUGUUCCAUCACCUGCCACCUGCAUCCUCAGUCCUCCUCCAAUAAUCUGGUAAAACAUAAUGGAUUACUAUGAAGUUCUAGGUGUGCAGAGACAUACUUCACCCAAGGAUGUUAAAAAAUAUUGGAAACUGGCACUGAUGUGGCACCCAGAUUAAAUUCUGAGAAUAAAGAAGAAGCAGAGAGAAAAUUAAGUGGCUGAGUCAUGUGAGGUGCUGUAAGAUGCUAAAAGUUGGUACAUCUAUGACAGAUGUGGCAAAGAAGGAUUAAAUGGUGGAGGAGGAGGUGGAAGUCAUUCCAUUUGAGUUUGGUUUCACAUUCUAUAACCCGUAUGAUACCUUCAGGGAAUUUUUUGGUGGAAGGGACCCAUUUUCAUUUGACUUCUUUGAAGACCCCCUUGAGGACUUUUUUUGGAAUCAAAGGGGUCCCUGAGGAAGCCACAGGACAGAGUCAUUUUUCUACAUUCAGUGGAUUUCCAUUUUUUGGAAGUGGAUUUUCUUCUUUUGAUCCAAGAUUUAUUUCAUUCAGGUCACUAGGUCAUGGGGGCUUCACUUCAUUCUCUUCCGUGUCAUUUGGUGGUAGUGGGAUGGGCAACUCCAAAUUGAUAUCAGCUUCUGCUAAAAUGGCUAAUGACAGAAAGAUCACUACAAAGAGAAUUGUUGAGAAUGGUCAAGAAAGAAUAGAAUUUGAAGAAUAUGGCCAAUUAAAGUCCUUAAUGAUACAUGGUAAGGAGCUGCUGCUGCACAUGGGUAACAAGUAAUUCCUUGCAUACAUUUAACAGAAAUGUUAAACUAUAUCAAGCACCAUUUGAGUAUUAACAGGAACUUUUUUUUGAACAUUUCAAAUGAACUCAACUUUCAGUAAUUGUACCAAAUCUAAACUAUUUAUAAACAGCUCAACAGAGCCCCCAUUUGUCAUGGACUUUUGAGUUUAUUGUUGAGACCACAUAAUAGGACUGUUUUUUUUUUUUAUUGUCUUUAAAAUUGUAAAUCUCUGUAUGUACUUUGCGUUUUUAUUUAAGUGUACUCCAAGGUGAGCCUUGACACUUUAGUGAUAGGAAAAGAUUGCACACUAAAAAACAAACCAGAAAAAACCACACAUAUAAAAGCAUGGAUCCGCUUUUCCAUCGUGAUUUAAAAUGUGAGCCAUGUAGUGUUAGCCUGCUCUAAAGUUAACAUUGCCAGGAUGAAUCUUCUACAGAAAUAGUUACACUUCUGGUUUAAUAGAAAUUAAGAAUUUUUUCCGGUAGUGCAUGAUUGUUUUUUCCUUCUAUUCCUGCAGAUUACUAGAACCUCUAUUUAGGAUUCCAUCUUGGCUUAUUUAUAGUGUUGUUUUGCAUCUAUCUCUUGGUUUUGUAGUGGCUGUUUUGGUUAUUGUAAUAAGCAUACGCGACUUAGUCUGUGGUAUCAACAUUUAUACUUCAACAGAAGUGUGGAAACCUCACUUUAAUUUACCUUUCGCCUUCUCCAAUUUGAAAUAUAAUUGUCUUGAGUAUCAGAUAAUGUUAUAACUUUUGUUUAAAGCAUGAAAUACUAUUUAUAAAACGAAUGAAGAAAAAGGUAGUCUUGUUUAUACCUCUGUUUCCAUUCUUUCUAUUGUUUCUUUUUUUGAUAUUUCGUCAUUCCUUUAAAAAAUCAUUUUCUUUAUGUUUAGGAAAUUUUCUUUAGCCAUUCUUUAUGGAUUGGUGUGCUAGAGACAUUUUUUUAAAACUUUUCUUCUUUUGAGAAUAUACUUUUAUUUCCUCAUUAUUUUGGAAGGGCAGUUUCACUGGAUAUAGAAUUCCCAGUUGGCAGUUGUCUUUUUUCCAAUAUUUGAAAAAUACUGUACCACUUUUAUUUUUUUGCCUCUGUGGUUUGAGAUGAGAAAUCUGGUGUCAUUUGAAUUGACAUCCCCUUAUGGGUAAUGUGUUGUUUCUCUCAUGCUGCUUUCAAGAUAUUUUUAUUUUAUUUUAUUUUUUGUCUUUAGGUUUUUGAAUGUUUAAUUAUGCUGUAUUAGUGUAAACUUCAUUAGGUUUAUUCUUUUUGGAUUUGCUUAGCUAUUUGGAUCUGCAAGUUAGUGUUCCUUAAAUUUGAGAAUGUUUCAGUCAUCAUUUCUUCAAGUAAUGUUUGAGCCCCACUCCCUUUUUUCCUUCUUUAUGGGACUUUGAUGGUGUGAAUGUUGGAUCUUUUUUGGUUUUUGGCCCUAUAGUUUCCUAAAGCUAUUACUUGUUUCAAUUUACUUUCCUCUCUUAUUCACAUUGGGUGAAGGUAAACAAGAGAGGAAAGUAAAUUGAAAAAAGUAUUCUCUUCCCGGUCAUUUUCUUUUUUUUUCCCUCUGAAACAGAGUGUGACUUGGUCACCCAGGCUGGAGUUAGUGGCACAAUUUUGGCUCACUGCAGCCUCUACCUCCCAGGCUCAAGUCAUCCUGAGUAGCCGGGACUACAGGUGUAAGCCACCAUGCCUGUCUAAUUUUUAUAUUUUUUUGUAGAGACGGGAUUUUGCUCUGCUGCCCAGGAUGGUCUUGAACUCCUGAGCUCAAGUGAUCUACCUGCCUUGACCUUCUAAACUGCUGGGAUUACAGGCAUGAGCCAUCAUGCCCGGCCCAUCUCUAUGUUUUAAUUGAGCCCCUCUUAAAAAUUUAUUUUACUUUUUAGUUCUCUUAAUUUUUUCUUCUUAUUUAUUUGCUUAUUUAUUUAAUUUAAUUUUUGUUGUUGUCGU
Callithrix jacchus (white-tufted-ear marmoset) is the source of this 35053-nucleotide non-coding RNA. Lineage: Eukaryota; Metazoa; Chordata; Mammalia; Primates; Cebidae. The record is from RefSeq and is a predicted model, not a curated record.